Folsomia candida is the source of this 243-nucleotide long non-coding RNA. RefSeq lists it as uncharacterized. Lineage: Eukaryota; Metazoa; Arthropoda; Collembola; Entomobryomorpha; Isotomidae. The record is from RefSeq and is a predicted model, not a curated record. The transcript is spliced from 3 exons.
CCGAGAUUGAUGAACAAGUCUUCCCAAUUUUAUUGGAACAGCCGGCCACCCCUAAUAUAGAGUUCAUCAUCAAAGGGGAGGAGCAAGCUGAAUUGUCCUUGGAUUAUUCAUUUGCGCCGAGCUCAUCAUUAGUAUAUUCUGAAAACUCAACUAAACACGGGAAUUCAUUGCCAGUGCUGUCACCUAUUAAAGCAGUGCCACAAAGUCCCCAAUUUACCCAGAUCUUGGAGUCUAUGGUGCAAA